RNAcentral lists this ribosomal RNA (254 nucleotides) under uncultured bacterium. RNAcentral's name for it is "partial 16S ribosomal RNA". It matches the Rfam family "Bacterial small subunit ribosomal RNA", at positions 524 to 777 of the family's 1533-position model. The record is from RNAcentral.
UACGUAGGUGGCGAGCGUUGUUCGGAUUUAUUGGGCGUAAAGGGUCCGCAGGAGGUUUGUUAAAUUCGAAGUGAAAUCCCGGAGCUCAACUCCGGAACUGCUUUGGAGACUGACGAACUAGAGUGCUGGAGAGGUAAGCGGAAUUCCAGGUGUAGCGGUGGAAUGCGUAGAUAUCUGGAAGAACACCAAAAGCGAAGGCAGCUUACUGGACAGUAACUGACUCUCAGGGACGAAAGCGUGGGGAGCAAACAGGG